CAGCAGCCGCGGGAAAACGUAGGGUGCAAGCGUUAAUCGGAAUUACUGGGCGUAAAGCGUGCGCAGGCGGUUAUAUAAGACAGAUGUGAAAUCCCCGGGCUCAACCUGGGAACUGCAUUUGUGACUGUAUAGCUAGAGUACGGCAGAGGGGGAUGGAAUUCCGCGUGUAGCAGUGAAAUGCGUAGAUAUGCGGAGGAACACCGAUGGCGAAGGCAAUCCCCUGGGCCUGUACUGACGCUUAUGCACGAAAGCGUGGGGAGCAAACAGGAUUAGAUACCCCGGUAGUCCCUGUCUCUUAUAC
This 301-nucleotide ribosomal RNA is filed under the name uncultured bacterium. RNAcentral's name for it is "partial 16S ribosomal RNA". It matches the Rfam family "Bacterial small subunit ribosomal RNA", at positions 509 to 807 of the family's 1533-position model. The record is from RNAcentral.